UAAAGGGCCUCAGAACCCUUUAAGGCUCUGAUAAAAGCUUGAGAGCCUUUCCUGAGGAAAAAUGCCCAUGCUAACAAAAUUCUGUGGGUCAUUUCAGGAUGCUCCUAUAUCCCCCUCAAGCCAUGGACCCGGAUAAAAAGUCCCACUCAAGCAUUUCUCCAGACCCGAAAUAGGACGAUGACGAUGAAGUUGAUACAUGAGGAAGCACAAAUUGGACAGCCGAUCCCGAUAAAUCAUGGAGCAGGAACAGCCUUGCUCAGGAAUGCAGACGUCAGGAGUGCUGCUACGAGCUGUGGAAACCUUCAGGUAGAUCACUGGCCCCGCUUUUACAGGUCCUCCUCCUCCACCAGGUUUGAUUUGGGCUGGAAAGGUAUGUAUGAUUUUUUUUUUUUAAUGGAGGUACUAGGGAUUGAACCCAAGACCUUGUGCACAUCUCCGAGGGGGCCGUGACUCCCAGAAGGAUGCUCACAGGAUGCUCAGAGGAACCCCCAGGGACACACGGAAUGCCCUGGGCUCAAACACAAGCCAGCAGUCAGUGGAAGAUGGCAUCUCCCAGCAAAGACCUGGGCCAGGCGGCUCAGCACAUAACAGUUUCCAGCAGGCUCUCCUGCACGCCACACUUCAGGCUAAACACACACUACAGGGCUGUGCUUCGCCCCGCCCCGCUGCCUCUCUGCACGCUCCCCAGGGACUCAGGUGAGAAACGGCUUCUCCCCACCGUACAGCCCUUGGCACUUAUUCCGGGGACAAUUCUUUAGAGCCUGAGGUGGAUGACAGAGGGGUCGUGCAGAGAGGGGCCUGGGCUAAUUGCCAUGAGGCCCUGUUUCCAGUCCCGAGGGGCCUGUUGUCUGUGUGCCAUCAGGAAAGUCACCCCUUCUGUUUGCUGUGCUGCCUCUGCACGCCCUCCCUGCCCUCCAGGACGGUGGUGACGGUUAUGUGAAAUGAUGAGCGUGGAAGGGCUGGGAAGACUCUAGAAGUCUGGGCCCGUGUUGUCAAGCAGCAGGGAAAUGCCUGCUCACUUGCCACCUCCAGGGCUUCCUGCACGCCGCCGCCUGCGGCCAGGCCCUCCCUGGGCGCGCCUUCUCGGUGCUGCUUGCUCCCGCAGCCUCCUUUCUUCUUCAGCAUACCUCCUGUGGUUGGAGGACAGCUUGGAGUCCACCCAGAGGUCUGUUUAUCUCAGUCCCUGGUUGCUUCUGGGGAAACCAGCUAACGACGCUGCCUUCCUCCAAACUGACACAAAAUCCUCCCUGAAACUUAAGUUCCAGCUUCUCACAGGUGAUGUACCAUGUUGGAGAUCUAUUCCUGCCACACUUAGUGGGUUAAAUCAGCAACAUUUUAUAUAUAAUUUCUCACAACUCUGUGGGUUGAUUAGGCUCAGCUGGGUAGUGCCACGUGGAGUAGCCAGUGUCACUCAUGUGGCUGCGUCGGCUGGGGAGAAGCUGGGACUCGAGUGGCCGGGGGAGAGUCCCUUAUUCUCUGGGUUCUCUUGUCACGUGGCCUCGGUGUUUGAUAGUCUAGCAUGAACUUCCCUCCAGCUUGAUGGCUGGCUUCCAAGGGUAGCGUUCCAAGAGGCCCAGACCCAAAGUGCCAGUGCUGGUCCGGCGUCUGCUUGUGUCCCAUUGGCCAAAGAAAGUCACAUGGCCAACCCCAAAGUCAGCGCGGGAGGGGCUCCUGAAGGCUGUGAUGGCAGGGAGGCAUGGUUAUCGGAGUCACUGGGGGCUGCCAUUGUAGGACUGCCCGCAGACACCUCUCCUUUCUGUCUGCCUUUACCAGAGCAAUGAAGACCCUGUGUGGUGCAGGGUCUACUUGGCUCAGGUGAAGACAUGUCCAGCUGCUCUACAAUUUCCUCUUCCCUUCUCCCUCCAAAACAAGACCCUGCACAAACCACCAGCCUCUCUCUGAAGAUUUCUUGCACAUUCGCAUCCUGCUGGGUUCACUCCAGUGUUCGUCCCUCGAUCCAGCCUCCAGCUCUCCAGCCCUCUCCCUUCCGUCCAUGACUGUGCCUGGGCCCCUGCGAUGGCACUCCGCUGGGCUCUGGCAGGGCUCCGUUUUAUCCUCCUUGGUGCUGAUCUAAGGCCACCCUCCCCCUUUUUUCACAUGGCCCAGUUACUACUGCUUGUGGUCGGUUUACACAACAUUUAUUAUACUUAUAAAUCUGUUAACUUUUUAAAGGGUAAACUAUUUAAACACAAUUGAUAAACUUAAAACCUCACAGAACAAAUUUCCUUAAACAUUUACACACUUAGUCCAAUUACCCUGUUUCAACACAACUAUGAGUCUAAUAUAACUUCUCCUGAAUGCUUCAAAUGCCUUCACAACACAGACGUUUUUACUGCACCCAUAUUAAGCUUCUUUGUAAAAAUCAUAACUACUGAUUUGACCAGCUUCUUUGUUCGCGAUGUAAAACUUAUUUUUGUACUUUUCCGGGAUUGUCAUAUCAGACCCAAAAGAGAAACAGUAUCUCCUUCCCUGGGCACAUGGAAAUCACAGCCUCUGGAUCACUGAUUGAUGGAUUCUUAGUGGGAAUACUGAAUCCUUCAAGGUGACUCAAAUGGCAGGAGACAAUUGCUGGUCUCAGAUCAGGUUAAACUUGCUAAGUCAAAAGGACUUAUAAACAAGUUCUUGCAAUCUUUACUUCCAUGUCCAUUUAAUUUUGGGUACAUGAUAUUUUGCCUCAGUUUACAAUUAACUUCAGUAUGCCUUAUUAGCAUUCAUUAUAAUUAGCCGGGCCAUAGAGCAGUUUAAUCUGUCAGCCAUUCUCCUAGGACAUCUGGCGAAUCCAUUAACUGGCAACAUCAAUUAUUGAACCCUCUUCUACCUGGUUACUUAUGAGACCACUGGUUUUGACCUGCCCUUUCUGAUUUUGGUACAGUUCCUACCCUUUCUGGAAAUCUUUGACUUACAGUAAGUUUAUCUGCUCUUCUCAAGUUGUACAAAUAUACCAUUUCAUAAACAGGUAUACAGAACUUCAAGUAAGAAACACAAUCCUCUAGAUUCCAAAGUUACCUACCUAAUAAAAUAUCCUGUUUUCAUCCUUUCUUUAGGAAUUAUUAUAACUAGCUUUGUCAUUGCCCAUAAUAUUAAUUUUUCCUUUGUGAUCAUUAAAGACUCAUGGCUAUUCACAGAUUCAACUUGUUCUUGUAAAUCAACAACUGCACAGCUAGUUACUCUUUGUGACAUCCAAGUUGUCACAACCUGACCACAGGAGCCCUCUUUUCUUUUCAGCUGCCUCCUUUGUCCUUUCAGCAACAGCCCAGGGUUUUAGGCAGCAGCCUAGUUUUCUAGCAACAGCAAGAUGUCUCGGGCCACCCUCAUUUCCCCUUGCUCCCAGACGUGGACUCAGCUUCUUUGAAGGAGCCCUAGACACCACUAGCGAAAAGUGCUACUGUGAGAUCAAUGUGUGGGUGCUGAGGGCACAGGUGGGCUGGUGACGGGAGGGCACUCAGCAGCCACAGAAAAGAAAGAGCUGGAAAAGACAUUGCUUCCUAAGGUCAUAAUUAUGUUCUCAAACUGCUCUAACAUUACAACACCCCUUUCUUUUAUACAAUUUUAAAUGGAUUUUCUCUACAACGUGCCUGUUCAGCUUUGAUGACGCUUCACUCAGACUGUGAGCAUCCCAGCCUCUGAUUGUAUCGUUGCGGUGUGCAAGGCCCAUUAUUUUGAGGUUCCUCAUAUGUAUCCUUUACCAAAACCUGCUUUCAAGAAAGCAUCUUAUAAAAUUAUUGUAUAUAUAUUGUUUUCAUGUAAAUGCAUGUUUUUCAUAUACCUAUUAGACAUAAUUAUACAAUUAUUUACACAAAUGUAUUCAAUUAUGUAAAUAUAUUAUUAUAUAACCAAAUACCAUUUCAUGUUGAUACAUUUAUUGGCACAAAUUCACUCCCGUGCUAGCCUUGAGAGGCUGAUGGCCACCAGAGGGCCAUCUGGGAAGCUGCCUGCCUCUAGGAACUGUUGCUGAAGCAGGAUACCAUUAAUUACACAAUUUUGAGCAAUUUAUAUUUAAUUCUACAAACCCACCUUCAUUAAUUGAAGGCAGUUUGAAAUAGUACACAAAUGGAAAGAGUAAAGGUGUCUGCCAACUGAAAUGUGCAAAUUAGUCAGCAAGCCAGGGACGCUCUCAUCCCAGCAUUUGCAAAUCUGGUUCCAUAGACAGGGACUCUUCCUCUUUUCUGAAUGCCUGUGGCCAGGACAGUUUUCCGUAACAAGAGAUGCUCAGUGACUCUUCUCUGAGAAGGAAGAAAACGCCAUGGGAAUAAUGGAGAAAACCAUAGCCAUCUGAAUAAUUAAUCCAGGGCUGCCAUUCAUAAUCCACAAUUUCUUUUUUAAUUUGACUCUAUUAACAUUCUGAGGCAAUUGGGUUUUGAGAUAAACUUUAACUGCUUCAUUUCCAAAAUUCAUUUUGUUCACAACAUCCAGGAGCAAUCCAUCUGCUAAUCAAUAACUAACACUCAAAUGCUGCUGCCAGAAAAGCAAGCCAGCACAAAACCAAUACUGUCGGCAACUCAGAACAACUAAUUUCCUGACAGAAAUCGAUUCACAGCAAAAUAGUGGUUAUUGCAAAUAUUUAUUGUUCUGAAAGGGAAAGCUUAUCAAUGAAGCUUUUUGAGCAGUUCAUUUCCAAAUGAAAGGUGGUGAUGGGCUUCACCCAGCCAUCCAACUUUGGGACAUAGGAUGUGAUGGGUGUGCAGCAAUCACCCUACCAUUGCCUUGGAAUCGGCUCUUUCUGGGGUGUGGUGGGUAGUGUGGGUACAUCCCAGGUGGCCCUGUGGUAAAGUGGGGAGAAUUCUGGCCAUGGAGAUACCAGUUCCACACCUGGGUCUUCAUCGGCUUGCUGUGUGAUCUCAGAAAGCCACAUAACCUCUCUGAACAUUCCUUUUCUUUUAGGAAAGAAGGAUAAUCCUAUCUGUCCAAUUUCACUUCCCCUCCUCAGUUGUUGUGAGGAUUAAAUGAAGGGGUCAGGGGAGGAGCUAUCUCUGAACAUAUAUCUGAUGGACUGGGUAAAACUGGGGUCUUAACAAUGACUCAUUUCCCAAGAACAGGAUUAAGGCGCAAGACAGAAGUCUGACAGACUAUCCUAAAGCUCAGUGUUCAAGGGAGUUUUACUAACUGGAAAACAAGUGACAACAGGAACAGAAGGGAUGACUGAGUAGCACAAGUGUGCAGAAAGGAGCUGGGAACAAGGAUGGAAGAGACCUGCACGGCUUCUCUGCUCAAGAAGCACACGGUCCAGCUCACGGGGUGAGGGCUGCGCAAACGGAUAAACACAACGGGCGCGGGGACGAUGUGCAGGAAGGACUAAUGGGGACGUGGGAACGCACAGACAUGCGCUGAAGGAGGAUUUCUCAAGUUGGGCAGCAAAGUAGGGAGGUUACUCCAGGAAAAGACAACAGGCAGAUUAGCAUUUCAGGAGAACCGUAAAAGUAAAUCAGAAUUUCCCAGGUUUCUCACUUGAAGUUCACGUUUACAUUUUUUUGCUUUGUCUCUGUACCACAUCGCAUGUACCAUUGUAAAUUGACGAAUUUUUAAAGUAAAUA
This is a long non-coding RNA of Camelus dromedarius (Arabian camel), 5531 nucleotides long. RefSeq lists it as uncharacterized. NCBI's taxonomy places the organism in Eukaryota, Metazoa, Chordata, Mammalia, Artiodactyla, Camelidae. The record is from RefSeq and is a predicted model, not a curated record. The transcript has 3 exons.